RNAcentral lists this long non-coding RNA (825 nucleotides) under Pogona vitticeps (central bearded dragon). RNAcentral's name for it is "lncRNA (ENSPVIG00000022219.1)". The record is from RNAcentral. Lineage: Eukaryota; Metazoa; Chordata; Lepidosauria; Squamata; Agamidae.
GAAGGCAUACAGUGACAGAAGCUUGGCUUGUCCCACAGCAACAUUUUCAGAACAGGACUCCAUGGCUUUCCUGAUGAUUCGACUGUGGCACCUUACAAUUGCAGUGAUGGUCUUCUCACACAUCUCAACCUCACUUCCUUCGCUGGGGAGGAACAAGAGGCAAGUUGAGCUCAAACUGAUGCAUGAUGCAGGAAUGAGGCGAGAAUAUGAGAAAGCUGCCAAGUUACUUCAGACACUGAUGAACUACAAGCGCAGUGUCCCAAAUACAUCUGAAGAAAAGGAUGCAUCUGGCUUGUUUGAUAAAAACAAUCUUGACUUGUGGAAUUUGGAGGAGAAGCUUCUUAAGCUGAAAACCUGCCUCCAGUUUGCACAGAACCUUGAUACAAGUCUUUUAGGCAAUGAAGUCAAUGAUGCCGCUCGAGUGAUUAGCCACUCCGUUUGCCAACAGAUUGCUGAAAUGAGUGAAGCAGCAUCUGGAGCAGCAUCUGAUGAAAACCAAAACUGAAGCAUCCAACAGUGGGAUGAUUCCUCUCCAAGGAAACGGCUGCUUCUGCUUCUCCCACCCCCUCUUGUGUGGAAAUGAAAUGUGCUAGGGAAAACAAAUAGCACAAUCAUGGAAAUACCAUAGGGAUUGUAGAUAAAGGAAGGGAAAUACAGCAGAGUCAGACAUUUGGAGCAAAUCUCAUGGCAGAAAGCUGAAUUCCUUAUUCUCAUCCUGUCUUCAACUUCUCCAAAAUCUAAUUUAAAAAAAACCUAUGCCACAAUUGGUUGCUUAUUGGUAAAAUGGGCCACAAGGGAAAUAAAGCUAACUUGCAGGUAGAUACA